CUCAAUUCUGCCUCAUGCCCCACCACUACAGAGUUUAGCUACUUAGCAAGCUGUAAAAACCGUUAGUGUCAUUAGGUUUAGCUUAUUUAGCUAGCUCAAACCAGAUAAUCCGCCACUGUCACGGUGGAUAUCAGAAAUGGGUUUCGCCAAAGUUUCCAAACAAAGCCAAAAAGGAGAAGGAGAGCAAUGAGCAGCAGCAUCAAACCACCGAGGCCGCCACCAAGCCCAGCAGAGAUGAUGCUUCCGAGCUCCAAAUAGCUCCGCAUGCAGAGUCUUACCCACCCUUCCACAAGCGCCUCCAGGAUAGUGCCUCCACAACCCCUCCACCUGCAACUGUUCCUGAUGAUCUUGGAACAGAGGAGACAGCCCAGACUAGCCUAGAAUCCUAACCUAGCCAUAGGAUUUAUGUCUAAAAAACUUUCAUUUAAUAGCAACUGGUUCAUAGAAAGAGUGUAAUACUCAAUUACUGCAGAAUUGAAUAUAAUUCCAAUGCAAGAACCCAAAUGACGCCCAUGGGUAUAGCUACAUAUCGGUAACCAUGUUUGACAGAGGAAGAACAAUGAUUCCAAGCACCACCCACCUUUUGAAGCUUCCAGUCUGUUAUUCAAACUCAAUCAGCAUGACAGAGUGAUCUCCAGCCUUAUCUUCGUCAACACUCACACCUGUGUUAAUGAGAGAAUGACUGACAUGAUGUCAGCUGUUCCUUUUGUGGCAGGGCUGAAAUGCAGUGGAAAUGUUUUUGGGGGGUGAUUCAGUUCAUUUGCAUGGCAAAUAGGGACUUUGCAAUUAAUUGCAAUUCAUCUGAUCACUCUUCAUAACAUUCUGGAGUAUAUGCAAAUUGCCAUCCUACAAACUGAGGCAGCAGACUUUAUGAAAAUUAAUAUUUGUGUCAUUCUCAAAACGUUUGGCCACAACUGUACUCGCCAUGUCUGAAGCGGGCCUAUAGGCAUAUUUAUUUGGCAAGACAGCUGUGCAUGUCUGCAUCUCAGUAAUAGGCUGUGGGCUGUUUUGGUUAUCUGGAUCUCCAUUCACUUUUUCUUUACUGUGUUUGUUUACUGUUAAUGUAACUAGCCUAAUUAUAGAUUGUCUU
Long non-coding RNA from Oncorhynchus tshawytscha (Chinook salmon), 1090 nucleotides. The record is from Ensembl. Lineage: Eukaryota; Metazoa; Chordata; Actinopteri; Salmoniformes; Salmonidae.